UCUCCACCCGAGACUCAGUGAAAUUGAACUCGCUGUGAAGAUGCAGUGUACCCGCGGCAAGACGGAAAGACCCCGUGAACCUUUACUAUAGCUUGACACUGAACAUUGAGCCUUGAUGUGUAGGAUAGGUGGGAGGCUUUGAAGCGUGGACGCCAGUCUGCGUGGAGCCGACCUUGAAAUACCACCCUUUAAUGUUUGAUGUUCUAACGUGGACCCGUAAUCCGGGUUGCGGACAGUGUCUGGUGGGUAGUUUGACUGGGGCGGUCUCCUCCUAAAGAGUAACGGAGGAGCACGAAGGUUGGCUAAUCCUGGUCGGACAUCAGGAGGUUAGUGCAAUGGCAUAAGCCAGCUUGACUGCGAGCGUGACGGCGCGAGCAGGUGCGAAAGCAGGUCAUAGUGAUCCGGUGGUUCUGAAUGGAAGGGCCAUCGCUCAACGGAUAAAAGGUACUCCGGGGAUAACAGGCUGAUACCGCCCAAGAGUUCAUAUCGACGGCGGUGUUUGGCACCUCGAUGUCGGCUCAUCACAUCCUGGGGCUGAAGUAGGUCCCAAGGGUAUGGCUGUUCGCCAUUUAAAGUGGUACGCGAGCUGGGUUUAGAACGUCGUGAGACAGUUCGGUCCCUAUCUGCCGUGGGCGCUGGAGAACUGAGGGGGGCUGCUCCUAGUACGAGAGGACCGGAGUGGACGCAUCACUGGUGUUCGGGUUGUCAUGCCAAUGGCACUGCCCGGUAGCUAAAUGCGGAAGAGAUAAGUGCUGAAAGCAUCUAAGCACGAAACUUGCCCCGA
Molecule: ribosomal RNA, 784 nt
Filed under: Salmonella enterica
Lineage: Bacteria; Pseudomonadati; Pseudomonadota; Gammaproteobacteria; Enterobacterales; Enterobacteriaceae
Description: partial 23S ribosomal RNA
Rfam family: Bacterial large subunit ribosomal RNA
Source: RNAcentral